AAACAACUGUCUGAAGCAUUCAGAUUGCCUAUGCUCUGAUUAGACAAUGCAUAGCUACAAAAAGGAACACUGGUAAGGAAAAUGUGAAAACCCUUUGCUGAUGCAAACCUACACAAGUUCAGCAUGACUAAAAUUAGAAAGAAAAAGGAGGAAAUCCGGACUUCAUUAAAAUCAGUGGAUGUUUCUGAGCAGAAUUUCCAUUAAUUAAUUUCAGUGGGGCCAGGAUUUCAUCCCAAAGAAGAAUGUGCUCCUACGCAAGACUGCAUCAAAAAGAAGAUAUUUCUUUCCGAGUCCCUGCGUGAGCCACAGGCACAGCCCAGAUGCAGCUUUGAGAAGGAAAGAAUGAUUGAGGAAGUUCAGCCCACAAAGAUCUGUGAUGCCUACUGCCAUCAGGAAGGUUUUGGUUGGACAGCUUAGUUGGGGGUGCACAUGCCCUGGGUGGCCCUGUGAAUGAAGGUCCUUGACAGAGGAUAACGUGAGUACUCUGCUCUGUGCGUAUCUGUGUUGUACCAGGAUGAUUCUGAAUACAGCU
This 532-nucleotide long non-coding RNA is filed under the name Struthio camelus australis. Its description in RNAcentral is "lncRNA (ENSSCUG00000008137.1)". Lineage: Eukaryota; Metazoa; Chordata; Aves; Struthioniformes; Struthionidae. The record is from RNAcentral.